Molecule: ribosomal RNA, 1475 nt
Filed under: human gut metagenome
Description: bacterial LSU rRNA
Rfam family: Bacterial large subunit ribosomal RNA
Source: RNAcentral
GUGAUAGGGUACUUUUUGUAGAACGGUCCGGCGAGCGAUUGUAUGCAGCAAGGUUAAGGACUUAAGGUCUGGAGCCGAAGCGAAAGCGAGUUUGAAAAGGGCGUUAAGUUGCAUAUAAUGGGCCCGAAACCGGGUGACCUACCCAUGGUCAGGUUGAAGUGGAAGUAAAAUUCCAUGGAGGACCGAACCGACCUCCGUUGAAAAGGCGGCGGAUGAACUGUGGGUAGCGGAGAAAUUCCAAUCGAACCCGGAGAUAGCUGGUUCUCCCCGAAAUAGUUUUAGGACUAGCCUCAAGUUAGAUACCUGGAGGUAAAGCACUGAAUAGCCUAGCGGCCGAGAGGUUAGCGAAGCUUAUCAAACUCAGAAUGCCAGAGUAUUGAUGCUUGGGAGUCAGACAGUGUCAGAUAAAUGUCAUUGUCAAAAGGGAAACAGCCCAGAUCUACAGCUAAGGUCCCAAAGUCAGGUUAAGUGGAAAACGAUGUGAAGAUACGCAGACAACCAGGAUGUUGGCUCAGAAGCAGCCACUCAUUCAAAGAGUGCGUAAUAGCUCACUGGUCGAGCGUCUUUGCGCGGAGAAUUUAACGGGGCUAAACCUGACACCGAAGCUUAGGCAAUACAGCAAUGUAUUGGGUAGGGGAGCGUUGUAUACGCGGAGAAACAGUAGCGUAAGCGGCUGUGGAGUGUAUAGAAGUGAGAAUGCCGGAAUGAGUAGCGCGAAUGCAGUGAGAAUCUGCAUGGCCGAAAGCCUCAGGUUUCUGGAGGAAGGUUCGUCCGCUCCAGGUUAGUCGGGAGCUAAGGUGAGGCCGGAAGGCGUAGCCGAUGCACAGACGGUAGAGAUUCCGUCACCACCAAAAGAGUUAAGCACAGGGACACAUAUGAAGUCUCAGAGCCGGGUGUUGGUUCCGGUAGAGAUCGAGGGAAAUUAGUACCGAAGUCUGAGAUGGAAGAUGGCGAGAAAAGCUGUGUGUAUUUCUGAGGUGCCCGUACCGCAAACCGACACAGGUAGGUAGGAAGAAGAUUCUAAGGCCAACGGGAGAAGGGUUGUUAAGGAACUCGGCAAAUUGACCCCGUAACUUCGGGAGAAGGGGUGCUCCAGAGAUGGAGCCGCAGAGAAUCGGCCCAAGCAACUGUUUACCAAAAACACAGGUUUGUGCUAAAUCGAAAGAUGACGUAUACGAGCUGACGCCUGCCCGGUGCUGGAAGGUUAAGAGGAGAUGUGCAAGCAUUGAAUCGAAGCCCCAGUGAACGGCGGCCGUAACUAUAACGGUCCUAAGGUAGCGAAAUUCCUUGUCAGGUAAGUUCUGACCCGCAUGAAAGGCGUAAUGAUUUGGGCACUGUCUCAACAGCCCGCCCGGCGAAAUUGUAGUACCGGUGAAGAUGCCGGUUACCCGCGACAAGACGGAAAGACCCCAUGGAGCUUUACUGUAGCCUAAUAUUGGGUUUCGAUGUUGCAUGCACAGGAUAGAUGGGACUCU